UGUUCCUAUAGCUCAGGGGAUAGAGCAUUCGUUUCCUAAACGAUGUGUCGCAGGUUCAAAUCCUGUUAGGAACGU
Molecule: transfer RNA, 75 nt
Filed under: Carnobacterium divergens
Lineage: Bacteria; Bacillati; Bacillota; Bacilli; Lactobacillales; Carnobacteriaceae
Description: tRNA-Arg(cct)
Rfam family: tRNA
About the family: Transfer RNA (tRNA) molecules are approximately 80 nucleotides in length.
Source: RNAcentral